CCACGCCCCCUCCAAAACGCGUCACCCCCGCCUAUAUAAGCGCCGCGUCGCCUUCCCACAAUCCCUUUCGUUUGGUCGCUGUCGUCGCCAGGACCAACUUGGCAAGAUGCGGGCCAAGUGGCGAAAGAAGCGCAUGCGCAGGCUGAAGCGUAAAAGGAGGAAGAUGAGGCAGAGGUCCAAGUAAACCUGCCAAUGCUUCGCCACACGCUGUCCGACCACGGAGCCCAAGGCUUGGGGCGGCGCUGGGUGUGAUGAAACGAGGAUGAACCAAGCUGCCCGAGGUCUUCCCACUGCCAAGGGCUGCCCAAGCGCUCGCCGUGUGGGGCUGUACAUCGACCUCUGAGCAUCAGUGAUGGAGGACGCCCUCCAUUCUGCUUGAUGUUUCAGAGCGGGACCUUUUCCAACACUCCCGGGCAACACCCCCCCCCUCCCUUUGCCUUGGACUAUCCAUGUUAUGACUCCUGUGUGAUAUAGUUGCCAAUAAAAGCUGGUUAACUGUU
Petromyzon marinus (sea lamprey) is the source of this 500-nucleotide long non-coding RNA. RefSeq lists it as uncharacterized. The record is from RefSeq and is a predicted model, not a curated record. Lineage: Eukaryota; Metazoa; Chordata; Hyperoartia; Petromyzontiformes; Petromyzontidae.